UGGAGGUUGUGCCCUUGAGGCGUGGCUUCCGGAGCUAACGCGUUAAGUCGACCGCCUGGGGAGUACGGCCGCAAGGUUAAAACUCAAAUGAAUUGACGGGGGCCCGCACAAGCGGUGGAGCAUGUGGUUUAAUUUCGAUGCAACGCGAAGAACCUUACCUGGUCUUGACAUCCACGGAAGUUUUCAGAGAUGAGAAUGUGCCUUCGGGAACCGUGAGACAGGUGCUGCAUGGCUGUCGUCAGCUCGUGUUGUGAAAUGUUGGGUUAAGUCCCGCAACGAGCGCAACCCUUAUCCUUUGUUGCCAGCGGUCCGGCCGGGAACUCAAAGGAGACUGCCAGUGAUAAACUGGAGGAAGGUGGGGAUGACGUCAAGUCAUCAUGGCCCUUACGACCAGGGCUACACACGUGCUACAAUGGCGCAUACAAAGAGAAGCGACCUCGCGAGAGCAAGCGGACCUCAUAAAGUGCGUCGUAGUCCGGAUUGGAGUCUGCAACUCGACUCCAUGAAGUCGGAAUCGCUAGUAAUCGUGGAUCAGAAUGCCACGGUGAAUACGUUCCCGGGCCUUGUACACACCGCCCGUCACACCAUGGGAGUGGGUUGCAAAAGAA
Molecule: ribosomal RNA, 608 nt
Filed under: Shigella sp. ASBCFS38
Lineage: Bacteria; Pseudomonadati; Pseudomonadota; Gammaproteobacteria; Enterobacterales; Enterobacteriaceae
Description: bacterial SSU rRNA
Rfam family: Bacterial small subunit ribosomal RNA
Source: RNAcentral